GAUGAAGAACGCAGCGAAAUGCGAUAAGUAAUGCGAAUUGCAGAAUUCCAGUGAGUCAUCGAAUCUUUGAACGCACAUUGCGCCCUUUGGUAUUCCGAAGGGCAUGCCUGUUCGAGCGUCAUUAUCACCCCUCAAGCCCUCGGCUUGGUGUUGGACGGUUUGGUGGAGGCCCCCUCGGGGGCUCCUGCCCCUCCCAAAGACAAUGACGGCGGCCUCGUUGGACCCCCGGUACACUGAGUUCUUCACGGGACACGUAUCGGACACAUGGGUUUACGGGACACGGUCUGCCUCCCCUCAGGGAGAAUCUUUCUAAGGUUGACCUCGGAUCAGGUAGGGAUACCCGCUGAACUUAAGCAUAUCAACAAGCGGAGGA
RNAcentral lists this unclassified non-coding RNA (373 nucleotides) under soil metagenome. RNAcentral's name for it is "partial contains 5.8S ribosomal RNA, internal transcribed spacer 2, and large subunit ribosomal RNA". The stretch from base 1 to 121 matches the Rfam family "5.8S ribosomal RNA", at positions 35 to 154 of the family's 154-position model. The record is from RNAcentral.